UUUAAAUUUACAAAAUGAAGUGUAUUAGAAAAUGUUUAUCAUUUUUUUAAAUUUUCUUUGCAGUACACGGUUUAUAUUUUUCCUUUUUUUAAAAAAAAAAAACCCUUUUAUUACAAUGCUGGAUAUGUACAAAAAUUAAUAAGCUGCAUUGUCUACUUUUAUGUCAAAAAAUGAAUUCAGUUACCAGUUAGUGUGUUGCCAACAUAUAUGAACAUAUACUCACCAAAUACAAUGGGACCAAAUUAUAAUUUCUUUACAAUUCCUACAAUGAAAAUAUAUACAUAUAUCUAUAUAUACAAUGUUUUCUUACCUUAAAAGGUUAUCUGCAAAGGACAUUGCUGAUAUAACCCAUAUUUUAAUUAAAUUUUCCUAAAAGCCUCACUAUCUUACUUAAACAGAAAUAAUCCGAUAUCAGAAAUGCACAAUUAAUUACAUCCAGAAAAUAGGUUUCUUUUAGGAGAAAAAUGGUAUAAAACAUGUAUAUUCAAUGACAAGUGACAUAACUAACUGACUAAAUAGGAAUUUAAACAUAUUGUGUUGAUUUUUUUGUCCUUUAUGUUUGAAUAUAUAAAUAUAUGUAUAUAUAAACAUAUAUGCAUAUUUUCCCAGAUAGCCAAAUUAUUACACUAACCAGUGUUUCCGACAGGCAGUGUGAUCUUGUGCUGUGUACUUUAAAAACAGAUUCAGAUCAAGUUCAUGUAAUAUUUUAAAAACAUUCAUAAUCAGGGGCUCUGACUUUUUUUUUUGCAUAAUUCAUGUAUUCCAUUAAUGUGUUCUAUAUGUGUGUUUUUUUCCUUAUGUUAUCUGUUACAAGUUUCGUUAACAUGGGGGCUCUUUUGAUUCACAGACUUUCUUUCUCUAGACUGACAAAAGUUCAGACAGGUUAUUAAUUGGCUUCCAGCAUACGGUGCCCUUUUUUACCAUUUACAUAUUAUUGUAACUCAGCAGCUGCCGACUUUAACUGUCAAUCAAUCAAUGAACAAUCUAUCUAUGUAUAGUGUCAGGCCGUGCCGCAGAGAAUAUUAUAGCAAAAGGAAGAAAACAUUAGAAAAUUAGAAGAAAACACAAUGUAGAACAUGAAGAAUAUUAUUAUGCAAAAUAAUCUGAGCCCAAGUGCUAAGAGUAGGACAACUAAUAUGAACUUUCCUUAGGUUUCCCUGACAUUUAAACUACUUUUAGUCCUUCACUCCAAAAAUUAUUGCCAGUACAUUUUCAUACUAGGAAAGAAAUUUGUAAAGUUUUAGAAAAGUCAACUACAUCUGAAAUAAAAGCAUUGUCAAUUCUAGUUUAAAGCAUACCACUUUAUCACCAUAUCUACUUGAAAAAGUAUUGCUAAAUAUUACCUGGCUAAUAUACCUGAUAAUUUACACAAAUCUACAAAUUAUAUUCCCGAUAUUCCCAAAUCAGUUUUGAAGAACAGCACAAGAACAAAGUAUCUACCAAAAUCUAAAUAACUGAAUAUAUAUCUAUUUGUGCCAAAAAGCAGGUUCUGAGCAGUUUGAGGUUCCAAAUGCAAUCUAAUGCAAUCAGAAUGGAUCCCCAGGUCCCUGUGACACGUUGUUACAGCACUUUCCGCUUCAAAACAAAAAUAGGUUUGCAAAUCUGGGUUCAUUCUUGGAAAGUGCAGACUAGCCUCAAAGUAUCAGGAACAACUGGUAAACUUUUGUUAAAUACGUUUUGGUACCUGCAGCCUUUCAAUGUAAUUUUGCAGUAUCUAACAUGGACUUGGAGUUAAGAAUGUACAUUGGUGGAAUGUGGGUGGGAUGGGACCUCCCAGUAGGAUCUUGUUGCUAGUAGCUAAGGAGAAAGAUGAUUGUAUUUCUGUGAGAUUAGGCCUUUUAAAAAAAAUUAUUUUGUAAGAAAUUACGUUUUGUUUUUGAUUUUCAUUUGUGAGUUUAGAGAUUGCAAUGAGAAAAGUAACACUUCUUUUUGUUUUCUUGUAAAAUUGUAAAAUGGAAGCGACAGAUUUGAGAAUAAAAUAAUGCAAAACCUUUAUAUUCUGCUGUUUCCAUCUUGUCUUUUUUCUUAUGCAUUGUUGAUUGAAAAAGUUUAAUAAGACAUUGAAAACAAUGGAAACAUAAUAAUUAUGAAUGUUGCCCAUUGACGUAGCUCUGAUUGAUUCAGCAGUGCUUUCUGCAU
Molecule: long non-coding RNA, 2139 nt
Filed under: Pelobates cultripes (western spadefoot toad)
Lineage: Eukaryota; Metazoa; Chordata; Amphibia; Anura; Pelobatidae
Source: RNAcentral